AUCUAGCUGACGAGUCCUAAAUAGAACGAAAUAUGUGUCCUGGAU
Non-coding RNA from Schistosoma curassoni, 45 nucleotides. The record is from Rfam. Lineage: Eukaryota; Metazoa; Platyhelminthes; Trematoda; Strigeidida; Schistosomatidae.